Long non-coding RNA from Ailuropoda melanoleuca (giant panda), 507 nucleotides. RefSeq lists it as uncharacterized. The transcript is spliced from 3 exons. The record is from RefSeq and is a predicted model, not a curated record. Lineage: Eukaryota; Metazoa; Chordata; Mammalia; Carnivora; Ursidae.
GACUGUUGAUUUGGUGAGACAAACAGGCCAUCAGUGUGGCAUGUCAGAGAAGGCAAUUGAAAAAUUUAUCCGACAGCUGCUGGAAAAGAAUGAACCUCAGAGGGGGCCACCCCAGUAUCCUCUCCUGAUAGCUACGUAUAAGCCCAUUACCACCCGAACCAGUGCUUUCUGGAUCUCACACCUGGUGCUCACUCAUCCAUCACAUUCGGCUGAUGUCCUUGCCAAUUACCAAGAAGUACAUGCCAGAAAAUAAGGGAGUUCCUCUGCAUGGGGGUGAUGAAGACAGACCCUUUCCAGACUGAGAAACUGAGGCUCAGAAAGAUUGAGAAACUUGCCAGAAAAACACUUCUGGGGAAGUCUAAUUCAACCCCCCCCCCACGCCACCCCCCCCCACCAUGCCAAAGCACAACAUGGUGGAGAUGUUUUUGUUUAUAGGAGGAAUCUGAAUGUGUCUUAGUCUACCCUUUUCUCUCCCAUGCUCCCUAUCCAUAAUAGGCAUUUUAAUAA